RNAcentral lists this ribosomal RNA (253 nucleotides) under uncultured bacterium. RNAcentral's name for it is "partial 16S ribosomal RNA". It matches the Rfam family "Bacterial small subunit ribosomal RNA", at positions 524 to 776 of the family's 1533-position model. The record is from RNAcentral.
UACGAAGGGGGCUAGCGUUGCUCGGAAUCACUGGGCGUAAAGGGUGCGUAGGCGGGUUUUUAAGUCAGGGGUGAGAUCCUGGAGCUCAACUCCAGAACUGCCUUUGAUACUGAAGAUCUUGAGUUCGGGAGAGGUGAGUGGAACUGCGAGUGUAGAGGUGAAAUUCGUAGAUAUUCGCAAGAACACCAGUGGCGAAGGCGGCUCACUGGCCCGAUACUGACGCUGAGGCACGAAAGCGUGGGGAGCAAACAGG